This 418-nucleotide ribosomal RNA is filed under the name uncultured bacterium. Its description in RNAcentral is "bacterial SSU rRNA". It matches the Rfam family "Bacterial small subunit ribosomal RNA", at positions 61 to 495 of the family's 1533-position model. The record is from RNAcentral.
GUCGAACGGAAGUACCUUCGGGUACUUUAGUGGCGAACGGGUGAGUAAUACAUAGGUAACCUACCCUUAAGACGAGGAUAGCCAUUGGAAACGAUGGAUAAAACUGGAUAGGAUAUAGAGGAAGAAUCUUUUAUAUUUAAAAGAGAGAUCUGCUUAAGGAGGGGCCUGUGGCGCAUUAGCUAGUUGGUGGGGUAAGGGCCUACCAAGGCGAUGAUGCGUAGCCGGACUGAGAGGUUGAACGGCCACAAUGGAACUGAGAACGGUCCAUACUCCUACGGGAGGCAGCAGUAGGGAAUUUUCGGCAAUGGGGGGAACCCUGACCGAGCAACGCCGCGCGAACGAAGAAGUUAUUCGUAAUGUAAAGUUCUUUUAUCAGGGAAGAAAGAGGAAUUUGACGGCACCUGAGGAAUAAGCUCCG